This 31-nucleotide ribosomal RNA is filed under the name Ganoderma tornatum. RNAcentral describes it as "partial 28S ribosomal RNA". The record is from RNAcentral. Lineage: Eukaryota; Fungi; Basidiomycota; Agaricomycetes; Polyporales; Polyporaceae.
GACCUCANAUCAGGUAGGACUACCCGCUGAA